RNAcentral lists this ribosomal RNA (254 nucleotides) under uncultured bacterium. RNAcentral describes it as "partial 16S ribosomal RNA". It matches the Rfam family "Bacterial small subunit ribosomal RNA", at positions 524 to 776 of the family's 1533-position model. The record is from RNAcentral.
UACGAAGGGGGCUAGCGUUGUUCGGAUUUACUGGGCGUAAAGCGCACGUAGGCGGAUCGUUAAGUCGGGGGUGAAAUCCUGGAGCUCAACUCCAGAACUGCCUUCGAUACUGGCGAUCUCGAGUCCGGAAGAGGUGAGUGGAACUCCUAGUGUAGAGGUGGAAUUCGUAGAUAAUUAGGAAGAACACCAGUGGCGAAGGCGACUCACUGGUCCGGUACUGACGCUGAGAUGCGAAAGCGUGGGGAGCAAACAGG